This 403-nucleotide ribosomal RNA is filed under the name uncultured bacterium. RNAcentral describes it as "bacterial SSU rRNA". It matches the Rfam family "Bacterial small subunit ribosomal RNA", at positions 355 to 774 of the family's 1533-position model. The record is from RNAcentral.
UAGGGAAUAUUGCAAAAUGGGCGAAAGCCCGAUGCAGCAACGCCGCGUGGGCGAUGAAGGCCUUCGGGUCGUAAAGCCCUUUUUGAGGGGAUGAGGAAGGACAGUACCCUCAGAAUAAGCCUCGGCUAACUACGUGCCAGCAGCCGCGGUAAAACGUAGGAGGCGAGCGUUAUCCAGAUUUACUGGGCAUAAAGCGCGUGCAGGCGGAUUGGAGAGUUGGAUGUGAAAGCUCCCGGCUUAACUGGGAGAGGUCGUUCAAUACUUCCAGUGUUGUGUGCAGUAGAGGGAAGUGGAAUUCCGGGUGUCGUGGUGAAAUGCGUAGAUAUCCGGAGGAACACCAGUGGCGAAAGCGGCUUCCUGGACUGUAACUGACGCUCAGACGCGAAAGCUAGGGUAGCAAACG